ACCUCCGGCUUCCCGGUUAGCGCACGCACGCGGGACCGUCACCCACCCCGCCCUCCCGGUGGUGGCAGUGGCGCGUGCCCGCGGAGGCAGGUGUCAGCAGAGCCUAACUAAUCGCGACGCCCGCCCGCCUGGACGGGGCUUCAGAUCUUCGGGCCAGAAGCCCUAUGGUUGCAGUGACCUAAAGCUAAGAAAUAAAAGACUCUGGAAAACUAGCCCUUCACCUAUAGAAGACAUGACUGCCUUGUUGGAAAGGGAGUGCGGUAGUGCUUCCUCUGGCUCCUUUGGUCUAACCUGAGAACCGGGGAUUGAACUCAGGCACUUGC
This is a long non-coding RNA of Octodon degus (degu), 323 nucleotides long. RefSeq lists it as uncharacterized. The transcript has 3 exons. NCBI's taxonomy places the organism in Eukaryota, Metazoa, Chordata, Mammalia, Rodentia, Octodontidae. The record is from RefSeq and is a predicted model, not a curated record.